AUGCUCGCCACCAUGAUGCGCGCCUUCCUCCGCGCCCGCCUCCCGCGCCGCGCCCUCGCGCUCUUCCGCCGCGUCGUCCGCCAAGCCCUCCCCGCCGACGCGCGCACGCUCGUCUUCGCGCUCAAGGCCGCCGCGGCCGCCGAGCACGGGCCGUCGUCCGCGGGCGGGGAGGGCGUCCACUGCGUCGCCCUCAAGUGGGGGUUCGUUGGCCGGAGCGUGCUCGUCGGGAACGCGCUGGUGCACUUCUACGCGGACCACGGGUCGCUGGCGCGUGCGCGGAGGGUGUUCGACGAAAUGUCCGAGAGGGACGUCGUUUCCUGGACGACCAUGGUGGACGGGUAUGCGCGGAGGGGGUUGGCUGACGAUGCCUGGCGCGUGUUUUGCAGGAUGGUGGUGGCGGGGGGCCAGCAGCCGAAUGAGGUGACGCUGGUUGCGGCGCUGUCGGCGAUCGGGCAGAUGGGAUUGCUGGCACUGGGGAGGAGGGUGCAUCGGUAUGUUGCAGAGGGUGGUUUAGGUGGAAGCAUUAGCUUGGCGAAUGCGCUGAUCGAUAUGUUCAGGAAAUUCGGGUGCAAGUCCUCUGCCAGGGAGGUUUUUGACGGCAUGGCGGUCAAGGAUGUGUACUCCUGGACGACCAUGGUUAACGUUUAUGCCAAGUGCGGUCACUUGGAGAGUGCAGCUCAACUGUUCGAGGAUAUGCCUAGGAGGAACGCAGUUUCUUGGAGUUGCAUGAUCGCUGCUUACUCACAGGCAAAUCAGCCUGAGGAAGCAGUGAGGUUGUUUAAAAAGAUGAUUGAAGAAAAUGUUGAGCCGAUUAAUGCUACCCUUGUAAGCGUGCUUCCGGCCUGUGCUCAGUUAGGUUGCCUGGAUCUUGGUAGGUGGAUAUAUGAUAACUACAUUGUCAGUGGUAAGGUUGUACUUACCGUGAAUUUAGGUAAUGCAUUCAUUGACAUGUAUGCAAAAUGUGGAGAUUUGGAUGCAGCAUCAAGAUUGUUUGCUGAGAUGGGAGAGAGAAAUGUAGUGAGUUGGAAUUCGAUGGUCAUGGCCCAUGCUGUGCACGGUCAGUCUGAACAAGUCCUUCAUCUCUUUGAGCAGUUGAAAGGAACAGGUAUUGUGCCUGAUGAGAUCACAUUCCUUGGGCUACUUUCUGCAUGCAGUCAUAGUGGGUUGGUUUCAGAAGGGCGUCGGUAUUUUAAAGAAAUGAAAAUGGGCUAUCAGAUUGAACCCAAAGCAGAACACUAUGCAUGCAUGAUUGAUCUUUUGGGGAAAAGUGGACUUCUUGAAGAGGCACUCGAAGUUGCAAAGGGUAUGCCAAUGGAAGCUGGCGAGGCCGGUUGGGGUGCUCUUUUGAAUGCAUGCAGAGUGCAUGGCAAUGUAGAGAUUGGUGAAUGUGCUGCAGAUAAGCUAGUAAAACUCGAUCCAUCGGACAGUGGAAUAUAUGUACUUAUGUGCCAAAUAUAUGCAAGUAAAAGUAAAUGGGAUCAGGUGAAGAUGCUGAGGAUGUUGAUGAGAGAUAGAGGGGUAAAAAAGAACCCUGGAUGUAGUUCUAUUGAGGUGGAUGGAAAAUGUCAUGAGUUUUUGGCGGCAGAUGUUUUACAUGUUCAUUCAGAAGAUAUUUAUGCAGCAUUGAAGAACAUUUAUAUCCAUUUAAAACUGGAAGGUUAUGUUCCUCUGACUUGA
This 1677-nucleotide ribosomal RNA is filed under the name Triticum aestivum (bread wheat). Its description in RNAcentral is "partial small subunit ribosomal RNA". The record is from RNAcentral. Lineage: Eukaryota; Viridiplantae; Streptophyta; Magnoliopsida; Poales; Poaceae.